AUGAAGCUCGAGCCGAGGUUAAUCAGAAGGUCAAGGAAUUGAACCAAGUAGCUAAAUUAUUAUUAUUUGUGCCAUCUACUCAGAUCUAUCAGUCCGCGGAGCGGGAGCUACUUGAACAAUUAUUCACAAACCUUCACAAAAACCUUGAAGAGACUAUCAACUCCAAAAGAUUAGCUCAUAGGAACAAACAGUAUCUCUAGUAUACGUCUCUUCUAAUGAUAUUCAUAUCUUGAAAUUCUAUUCAAUCAUCAUUUUUUUCUUGCUUUACCAUGGUGCAGAUGAAAAAAGGGAUAACUCUGAAAGAUUACUCGAUAAAUGUCUUGUCAUGAGUGUUAUAUCCAGAGUUUUGUUUACAUGUAUGUCCUACAGAACGUGGUAGAUCUCUUUUUAAAGCUGGUGGAAGAAAUCAAUCAACCAGUAAGAUACUUGGUUAUACAUAUACUUUAGUAAUUAUGGAGAUUUUCAUUUUUGACAAGUCUGGAUUCGAUUGAUUAUUGGUGUUUUGCAUUUUUGAUUCUUGUGGCCUUCUAGUUGAUCUUUUCGGUAGAUGUUAUUAUGUCAUUUAUUCAGUACAACUACACUCUAGUAUUUCCGUCGCCACGAGAAAUUCUAGAAACGUUUAAUGUGUAGUUGCGAAAAAAAUUCACUAGAUCAUUCCUUUGCGACACCAAAAACAUGUGAAUGGAGUGAGGUAUCCUUCAGUUUCAUAUCAUAUUUACGAAUGCCACAUCGCUCCUUGUUAAAACUCAAUGAUGCGGCAUUGCAAAAGUACAUAAUGUUAUUUUUGAAUGUAAUGUGUAGUUUUGUCUUCUUAUAACGUGAGUUUACAUUUGGAAUUCA
Papaver somniferum (opium poppy) is the source of this 840-nucleotide long non-coding RNA. RefSeq lists it as uncharacterized. Lineage: Eukaryota; Viridiplantae; Streptophyta; Magnoliopsida; Ranunculales; Papaveraceae. The transcript has 2 exons. The record is from RefSeq and is a predicted model, not a curated record.